RNAcentral lists this long non-coding RNA (377 nucleotides) under Equus caballus (horse). RNAcentral's name for it is "lncRNA (ENSECAG00000028841.2)". Lineage: Eukaryota; Metazoa; Chordata; Mammalia; Perissodactyla; Equidae. The record is from RNAcentral.
ACAGUUUGCAGUUGAUAUCAGGUGUUAAAGUAAUAAGCAAGUGGAGGUUUUGCCCAAACUUGUCUUGUGGUUAAUCCCAAAUCCCGAACAUAACUCAAAACGUAGAUCCACCUCUGGUCUGCUUUGUAACACAAGACACCAAGACAACUCCAUGUAAGACUCGGGAGGAGAAAAUUUUCCGCAAUAUACCAACUGCAACCCAAAAACAGUGAAAACGUCCUUAGCAUGAGUGAUCCUCCAAAAUGGACCAAAUAAGGAACUAAUAUUUGGGAGUAGAAUCAUCUAGGAGAAUACUUCCUAACCUGCCAUGAACCCUAGGCAUUGAAGAGGAAGAUGGAAGACACUGAGAUCAAAUCAAGGAAAAAUUUCAAGAGGAG